AUCUUCGGCAAUGGGCGCAAGCCUGACCGAGCGACGCCGCGUGUGCGAUGAAGGCCCUUCGGGUUGUAAAGCACUGUCGAGAGGAAGCAAGCCGCAAGGUUGAGCGACCUCUGGUGGAAGCACGGGCUAAGUUCGUGCCAGCAGCCGCGGUAAGACGAACCGUACGAACGUUGUUCGGAAUCACUGGGCUUAAAGGGCGCGUAGGCGGGAUGGCAAGUCGGAGGUGAAAGCCCCCAGCUUAACUGGGGAAGUGCCCUCGAUACUGCCGUUCUCGAGAGAGGUAGGGGCGUGUGGAACUUCCGGUGGAGCGGUGAAAUGCGUAGAUAUCGGAAGGAACGCCGGUGGCGAAAGCGAUGCGCUGGACCUUUUCUGACGCUGAGGCGCGAAAGCCAGGGUAGCGAACGGGAUUAGAUACCCCGGUAGUCCUGGCCCUAAACGAUGGGUACUGGGUUGCGGGUCAGACAUGGACUCGCAGCCGAAGCAAAAGUGGUAAGUACCCCGCCUGGGGAGUAUGGUCGCAAGGCUGAAACUCAAAGGAA
RNAcentral lists this ribosomal RNA (539 nucleotides) under uncultured bacterium. Its description in RNAcentral is "bacterial SSU rRNA". It matches the Rfam family "Bacterial small subunit ribosomal RNA", at positions 361 to 909 of the family's 1533-position model. The record is from RNAcentral.